CCUACGGGAGGCAGCAGUGAGGAAUAUUGGUCAAUGGGCGAGAGCCUGAACCAGCCAAGUCGCGUGAAGGAUGACGGCCCUACGGGUUGUAAACUUCUUUUGUCAGGGAGCAAUUGAGUCCACGUGUGGGCUUAGCGAGAGUACCUGAAGAAAAAGCAUCGGCUAACUCCGUGCCAGCAGCCGCGGUAAUACGGAGGAUGCGAGCGUUAUCCGGAUUUAUUGGGUUUAAAGGGUGCGUAGGCGGAAUAUCAAGUCAGCGGUAAAAAUUCGGGGCUCAACCCCGUCGUGCCGUUGAAACUGGACGCGUUGAGUUCACAACAGGCAGGCGGAAUUCGUGGUGUAGCAGUGAAAUGCAUAGAUAUCACGAGGAACCCCGAUUGCGAAGGCAGCCUGCCGGGGUGCGACUGACGCUGAGGCUCGAAGGUGCGGGUAUCAAACAGGAUUAGAUACCCGAGUAGUC
This 460-nucleotide ribosomal RNA is filed under the name uncultured bacterium. RNAcentral describes it as "partial 16S ribosomal RNA". It matches the Rfam family "Bacterial small subunit ribosomal RNA", at positions 338 to 795 of the family's 1533-position model. The record is from RNAcentral.